This 234-nucleotide ribosomal RNA is filed under the name uncultured Candidatus Saccharibacteria bacterium. Its description in RNAcentral is "partial 16S ribosomal RNA". It matches the Rfam family "Bacterial small subunit ribosomal RNA", at positions 584 to 818 of the family's 1533-position model. Lineage: Bacteria; Candidatus Saccharimonadota. The record is from RNAcentral.
UAAGCGAGUAGUGAAUCUAACGGCUCAACCGUUAGGCUAUUGCUCGAACUGGUAAACUCGAGAAUGGUAGAGGUAACUGGAAUUUCUAGUGUAGGAGUGGAAUCCGUAGAUAUUAGAAGGAACACCAAUGGCGAAGGCAGCUACCUGGACCAACAUUGACACUGAGGCACGAAAGCGUGGGGAGCAAACAGGAUUAGAUACCCUGGUAGUCCACGCCCUAAACGAUGCGAACUG